GAUGAACGCUAGCGGCAGGCUUAACACAUGCAAGUCGAGGGGCAUCGGGAGGAAAGCUUGCUUUCCUUGCCGGCGACCGGCGCACGGGUGAGUAACACGUAUGCAACCUGCCCUCUUCAGGGGGACAACCUUCCGAAAGGGAGGCUAAUCCCGCGUAUAUCGGUUUCGGGCAUCCGAGAUCGAGGAAAGAUUCAUCGGAAGAGGAUGGGCAUGCGGCGCAUUAGCUAGACGGCGGGGUAACGGCCCACCGUGGCGACGAUGCGUAGGGGUUCUGAGAGGAAGGUCCCCCACAUUGGAACUGAGACACGGUCCAA
RNAcentral lists this ribosomal RNA (314 nucleotides) under uncultured bacterium. Its description in RNAcentral is "bacterial SSU rRNA". It matches the Rfam family "Bacterial small subunit ribosomal RNA", at positions 28 to 334 of the family's 1533-position model. The record is from RNAcentral.